This 253-nucleotide ribosomal RNA is filed under the name uncultured bacterium. RNAcentral's name for it is "partial 16S ribosomal RNA". It matches the Rfam family "Bacterial small subunit ribosomal RNA", at positions 524 to 776 of the family's 1533-position model. The record is from RNAcentral.
UACAGAGGGUGCGAGCGUUGUCCGGAAUCACUGGGCGUAAAGGGCGCGUAGGUGGCUUGGUAAGCGUGUGGUGAAAGUCCGGGGCUUAACCCCGGAUCUGCCGUGCGAACUGCUGAGCUGGAGCACUGUAGAGGCAGGUGGAAUUUCGGGUGUAGCGGUGGAAUGCGUAGAUAUCCGAAAGAACACCAGUGGCGAAGGCGGCCUGCUGGGCAGUUGCUGACACUGAGGCGCGACAGCGUGGGGAGCAAACAGG